AUAAGUAAGGUCGAACCUUACUAACCCCUAGAGCAAGCACACAGGUGUCAGUGAUAAGGAAAAACUCACUCUGAUGAUAUUGAGGAAGAAACGUCAAGCAGACCAGACUCAAAGGGGAGACCCUCUGCUUAGACCAUUCUAACAGUUACCAGGUU
Long non-coding RNA from Thalassophryne amazonica, 155 nucleotides. RefSeq lists it as uncharacterized. The transcript is spliced from 3 exons. The record is from RefSeq and is a predicted model, not a curated record. NCBI's taxonomy places the organism in Eukaryota, Metazoa, Chordata, Actinopteri, Batrachoidiformes, Batrachoididae.